This 1194-nucleotide unclassified non-coding RNA is filed under the name Hevea brasiliensis (rubber tree). The record is from RNAcentral. Lineage: Eukaryota; Viridiplantae; Streptophyta; Magnoliopsida; Malpighiales; Euphorbiaceae.
CCGUGUAUUAAAUAUCGGGAAGGAUCUCCCAAACAAUGGAUUUGCUGACAUAAACAUUGACCAAGCUGGUUCAGCCUUUGCCUGCUUUAGGCUACCCUAUCAACCAUUUCAAUAAUCUAAGCUUUAUGUACUUCCCAGAAGAUAACAUUACGACUGAGUACUCAUUUCCGGUGGCCUGAAGAAGCCAUGAGAACCCCAACAGCCACAAUAAACAUGGACAACAUACUUGUCAGCAAAAUAUAUGUUCUUCUUGAUGAUUUUCUGUACUCUUUGAAGAUUACUAUGCCCCAAAAUGUGCUCACAAGUGGGAGUGCCUGAACAGCAUCUGCUGCUGCAUAUCCUGCAGCUUGACCACCCAUAAAUUGAAGGCCAUUCCCAAACCCACAUAAUAAUCCAGCCAGGAAGGCCCAGCCUCUGCCAUUCCAAUCAUUAACAUAAGCCCUCAAUGUUGAUUUGGGUAGGUUCAGUACAGGCCGAUAAAGGAAAAUGACAUUUAAAAUUAUGGCAAGUACAAAACAGGAGACUGAGAACCAGAAAAAUGCAGUGUAGACAACUAAUUUAGGAACCCCUUUCUUCAAGGCGUGCCAUUGAUCAUUUGUAGCUAAGUUGAAAGCUGGUGAGAAGAGUGAGAAGCAAAAACCAGCAAAGAAAGUUAUAGCCAGUCCAAUCAAAGUACCCUUCCCAAACACCUUGAUUGAUCUUCUGUUUUCAAGCUCUAUGAGGAAAGCUGCAGUUCCAGCUUUUGCCUUCCAUGGAGGAGCAUUUCCAUUCUCCAGAUCCUUUGCUCCAUUGUUUGGAAAUUCUUCCUUGGUUGUGGAAGAACCUGUGUCCACCGUUUCAAGUUUGUUGUCAUUUGAUAAAUUCUUGAGCUUUGUUUUAUUAUCAGCUGCAUUGGAAGAAUGAACAGCUGAACCAAGACAAACAGCAAUCAAGAAGCAACCAACCCCAGGAAAAAGAAUCUCAGCCCUAUUAAUUUUGUCAUCCAAGAAGUAAUUCAAGGUUGUUCCUAUAACAACAGUUAUGCUAGAAGUGAUGACUUCCACCACUGACAAACCAACAAAAGCCCAAGCAUACUGUGUGGAUAAGUUUAUGUUUCCAUUGCUAAGCCCCACUCCCCCAGCCAUUGCAAACAUAACAGAGGGCCAAUUAUCCUGAGAAAGUUGGGUUAGAAAAUUCGGUGACUCAGGUGUGCUC